CCUACGGGGCGCAGCAGUGAGGAAUAUUGGUCAAUGGGCGCGAGCCUGAACCAGCCAAGUAGCGUGAAGGAUGACUGCCCUACGGGUUGUAAACUUCUUUUAUAAAGGAAUAAAGUGAGGCACGUGUGCCUUUUUGUAUGUACUUUAUGAAUAAGGAUCGGCUAACUCCGUGCCAGCAGCCGCGGUAAUACGGAGGAUCCGAGCGUUAUCCGGAUUUAUUGGGUUUAAAGGGAGCGGAGAUGGGUUGUUAAGUCAGUUGUGAAAUGUUGCGGCUCAACCGUUAAAUUGGAAUUGAUACUUGCAAUUUUGAGUAAAAGUGGGGGAGGCGGGAAUUCUGGGUG
This 341-nucleotide ribosomal RNA is filed under the name uncultured bacterium. Its description in RNAcentral is "partial 16S ribosomal RNA". It matches the Rfam family "Bacterial small subunit ribosomal RNA", at positions 338 to 675 of the family's 1533-position model. The record is from RNAcentral.